RNAcentral lists this ribosomal RNA (214 nucleotides) under uncultured bacterium. RNAcentral describes it as "partial 16S ribosomal RNA". It matches the Rfam family "Bacterial small subunit ribosomal RNA", at positions 29 to 231 of the family's 1533-position model. The record is from RNAcentral.
AACGAACGCUGGCGGCGCGCCUAAUACAUGCAAGUCGAGCGAGAAGACGUAGCAAUACGUUUGUAAAGCGGCGAACGGGUGAGGAACACGAUGGGUAACCUACCCUAGAGUGGGGAAUAACUAGCCGAAAGGUUAGCCUAAUACCGGCGUACGCUCCUUGGACUUCGGUACAGGGAGGAAGCGAUACCGUGGGUAUCGCGCUCUUGGAUGGGCU